AUGGCUUUUACAGAUACCGGAAAGACUCCCGUGCAGCCCAAGGUGGCGAUUCACCGGAUUAGAAUCACCCUCAUCAGCCGCAACGUGAAGUCUUUGGAGAAGGUAUGUGCUGACCUCAUCAGAGGCGCAAAGGAAAAGAAUCUCAAGGUGAAAGGACGGGUUCGGAUGCCUACCAAGACUCUGAGAAUAACUACAAGGAAAACUCCUUGUGGUGAAGGUUCUGAGACUUGGGAUCGUUUCCAGAUGAGGAUCCACAAGCGACUUAUAGACCUGCACAGUCCUCUGAGAUGGUCAAGCAGAUCACUUCUAUCAGUACUGAGCCAGAAGUGGAGGUUGAAGUCACCAUUGCAGAUGCUUAAAUCAACAUUUUUAAUAAACUGAUAAUCAGUUGU
Non-coding RNA from Kogia breviceps (pygmy sperm whale), 392 nucleotides. The record is from RefSeq and is a predicted model, not a curated record. Lineage: Eukaryota; Metazoa; Chordata; Mammalia; Artiodactyla; Physeteridae.